AGCAUGUGGUUUAAUUCGAAGCAACGCGAAGAACCUUACCAGGUCUUGACAUCCCCUGACAACCCAAGAGAUUGGGCGUUCCCCUUCGGGGGACAGGGUGACAGGUGGUGCAUGGUUGUCGUCAGCUCGUGUCGUGAGAUGUUGGGUUAAGUCCCGCAACGAGCGCAACCCUCGCCUCUAGUUGCCAGCAUUCGGUUGGGCACUCUAGAGGGACUGCCGGCGACAAGUCGGAGAAGUGGGGAUGACGUCAAAUCAUCAUGCCCCUUAUGACCUGGGCUACACACGUGCUACAAUGGGCGGUACAAAGGGCUGCGAACCCGCGAGGGGGAGCGAAUCCCAAAAAGCCGCUCUCAGUUCGGAUUGCAGGCUGCAACUCGCCUGCAUGAAGCCGGAAUCGCUAGUAAUCGCGGAUCAGCAUGCCGCGGUGAAUACGUUCCCGGGCCUU
RNAcentral lists this ribosomal RNA (445 nucleotides) under uncultured Geobacillus sp. RNAcentral describes it as "bacterial SSU rRNA". It matches the Rfam family "Bacterial small subunit ribosomal RNA", at positions 936 to 1382 of the family's 1533-position model. Lineage: Bacteria; Bacillati; Bacillota; Bacilli; Caryophanales; Anoxybacillaceae. The record is from RNAcentral.